ACUCAGUGACAGUCAAUAUGAAAAGCUCUUCCAGUCUGUUAUAGACAAGACUCUAGAGGAAUGCAUAGCUAGUUGUAAGAGGCAUGAAAUGCAAAGCUUUCAGGACAGUGAACUGCUCGUUACCAGUGAGAACAUCGAACUCUCUAUAAACACUGAACCCUCC
Molecule: long non-coding RNA, 163 nt
Organism: Mobula hypostoma (lesser devil ray)
Lineage: Eukaryota; Metazoa; Chordata; Chondrichthyes; Myliobatiformes; Myliobatidae
Exons: 3
Source: RefSeq, a predicted model, not a curated record